Molecule: small RNA, 340 nt
Filed under: Arabidopsis thaliana (thale cress)
Lineage: Eukaryota; Viridiplantae; Streptophyta; Magnoliopsida; Brassicales; Brassicaceae
Description: ATSL043910
Source: RNAcentral
UAAUAUAUAUAUAUAUAUAUAGUUGAUACAUUUAUAUAAUUAUUAAUUUAUGAUAUUGAUGGGACAAUAGAUUUACAUAUGACUUUCAAAAAAAUUAUUAUCUUAUUAAUUUAUCGAUUUAUGUCAUUUUUUACAUUGGUCCUAACUCGGGACCGGAAGAAUUUAUUAAUUUAUAGAGGUUAUUAAUUUAUAGAGUAUUAAUUUAUAGAUGUUAUACUGUAUAUGAAAGUUGGCCAACUUUCUCCAUAUGAUUGACACAUCAUCACUUUAGCAUUUGCCAUGUGUCUAUUAAAUAAUUAAUGUAAGCUCUUCAACUUCUAAUUUAUAGGUUAAUGAUAUU